RNAcentral lists this unclassified non-coding RNA (309 nucleotides) under plant metagenome. Its description in RNAcentral is "partial contains 5.8S ribosomal RNA, internal transcribed spacer 2, and large subunit ribosomal RNA". The stretch from base 1 to 102 matches the Rfam family "5.8S ribosomal RNA", at positions 53 to 154 of the family's 154-position model. The record is from RNAcentral.
AUGCGAUAAGUAAUGUGAAUUGCAGAAUUCAGUGAACCAUCGAACCUUUGAACGCACAUUGUGCCCCCUGGUACCCCGGGGGGCAUGCCCGUCCGAGCGUCAUCUCAGACCCUCAGGCCCCGGCCUGGCGCUGGGCCCCGCGCGCAUGGCGCGGGCCCGAAACCCCGCGGCGGUGGCGCCCCCGGAUCGAGCGACCAAGGCCCCACGGCCCCGCUGAGAUCCCGAGGACAGCGGUCUGACCACGCCGUAAAACCCCCAACUUCUCAAGGUUGACCUCGAAUCAGGUAGGAAUACCCGCUGAACUUAAGC